This 1015-nucleotide small RNA is filed under the name Pongo abelii (Sumatran orangutan). RNAcentral's name for it is "sense intronic". The record is from RNAcentral. Lineage: Eukaryota; Metazoa; Chordata; Mammalia; Primates; Hominidae.
CCCAGGACCCAGGCAAGGGGCACGAGUGUGACCCCCCCAGGCCUUCCCCUGGUUCCGUUUCCCUCCCUAGCCAGGUCCCCGCGAUGGAUGGGGACAGUGGGCUGUGACAAUGGAUCGCAACUGCUGUUUUUACCUGGCGGACGAUGCGCCCGAAUUCGCUUUAACCAGAUGCCCCUCUUCGCCUGGAGCCCUGGGAGCAGUCCCCCUCUCCGCUCAACAAUAAUUAGCCUUCGAUCUGAUUACCUACCAGGAAUGGCAAGUGGCCUCGCUGAAAGACUCGGCUUUUUGAGAAAUGAGAGAUGGGAGCCCUCACUGCCGAUGUUUCUUCCACACGCUUUGCUAGGUUAGAGGCAAGCUCAUGACCGCCUGGAAAAGCCAUUUUAGACAAAUCUUCCUUUGCAUUCUUGCUGGAGCCCUUCUCUUAUGCCCUUCCUUGGGCAUUUGCUCAUUCAUUUCCUCUCCCAUGCACUCACCCCACCCAUAGUGACUGCGCUCCUCCUGCCUGCGACGCUGGCAACAGGCAGCACAAUCUAAGGUCCCUCCCGGGAAAGUGUUCAGAGAGGGUUCCAUUCUGGGAGAGGCCCCCACUUUCCCCAGAGAUUUCAGACUCGAGUCAACCUUGCUGCUGGCAAAUGUCAGCAGAGAAUUUCAGAGCUUGAAGAAUCCUUAGAGAGCAUCAGUUCGAGUCUCUUACCCGGAAAAAACUGGGGGCCCAGAGAGGCUAAGGGUCUGGAGCUCAAGAUGCCCGCCAGGCAGUGGCAGGGCAGGAUGGUGCCUGGACUCAGCAGGACGGCUCUGUCUCUUCAGUCUCUCUUUUAUCCCCGUCCGGCCAACUGUAUUUGGAGAGUUUGACAUUGCCUUGGUAACCCCUGCCCCUCCCCACAGUGCCUGCCCAGCCCCCUCCCAUUUCCCCUCCUAGCACUUACUUGCCCCUGGCCCUCCUCCCAACCUGUUUCCCCCCAUGCGGGCAGGAACUGUAUUGCACUCACUCUAAUAAGAUGAUUGGACCAAUUAA